Molecule: non-coding RNA, 74 nt
Organism: Pteropus alecto (black flying fox)
Lineage: Eukaryota; Metazoa; Chordata; Mammalia; Chiroptera; Pteropodidae
Source: Rfam
AGCUCCAUAGUGUAGUGGUUAGCACAUCUGCUUUACAUGCAGAAGGUCCUGGGUUUGCACCCCAGGUGGAGCCA